AGGGAAUCUUCCGCAAUGGACGAAAGUCUGACGGAGCAACGCCGCGUGAGUGAUGAAGGUUUUCGGAUCGUAAAGCUCUGUUGCCAGGGAAGAACGUCCUGUAGAGUAACUGCUACAGGAGUGACGGUACCUGAGAAGAGAGCCCCGGCUAACUACGUGCCAGCAGCCGCGGUACUACGUAGGGGGCAAGCGUUGUCCGGAAUUAUUGGGCGUAAAGCGCGCGCAGGCGGCUGUUUAAGUCUGGUGUUUAAUCCUGGGGCUCAACCCCGGGUCGCACUGGAAACUGGGCAGCUUGAGUGCAGAAGAGGAGAGUGGAAUUCCACGUGUAGCGGUGAAAUGCGUAGAGAUGUGGAGGAACACCAGUGGCGAAGGCGGCUCUCUGGUCUGUAACUGACGCUGAGGCGCGAAAGCGUGGGGAGCAAAC
RNAcentral lists this ribosomal RNA (424 nucleotides) under uncultured bacterium. Its description in RNAcentral is "bacterial SSU rRNA". It matches the Rfam family "Bacterial small subunit ribosomal RNA", at positions 356 to 773 of the family's 1533-position model. The record is from RNAcentral.